This 250-nucleotide ribosomal RNA is filed under the name uncultured archaeon. Its description in RNAcentral is "partial 16S ribosomal RNA". It matches the Rfam family "Bacterial small subunit ribosomal RNA", at positions 524 to 773 of the family's 1533-position model. The record is from RNAcentral.
AACGUAGGGUGCAAGCGUUGUCCGGAAUUACUGGGUGUAAAGGGAGCGCAGGCGGACCGGCAAGUUGGAAGUGAAAUCCAUGGGCUCAACCCGUGAAUUGCUUUCAAAACUGCUGGCCUUGAGUAGUGCAGAGGUAGGUGGAAUUCCCGGUGUAGCGGUGGAAUGCGUAGAUAUCGGGAGGAACACCAGUGGCGAAGGCGACCUACUGGGCACCAACUGACGCUGAGGCUCGAAAGCAUGGGUAGCAAAC